GUCUUUUACAACAAUUGUUGCCUUUCUUUCAGGCAUGGUUGUUGGGGCUAUGUGCGCCAUCACCGGGGUCCUGACCAUCUCCCUACCUGUUCCAGUCAUAGUUUCGAAC
This is a non-coding RNA of Opisthorchis viverrini, 109 nucleotides long. The record is from Rfam. NCBI's taxonomy places the organism in Eukaryota, Metazoa, Platyhelminthes, Trematoda, Opisthorchiida, Opisthorchiidae.